GACGGACGGUGCAAGCGUUGCUCGGAAUCACUGGGCGUAAAGGGUGCGUAGGCGGCCGUGCAAGUCUGGCGUGAAAGCCCCGGGCUCAGCCCGGGAAGUGCGCUCGAAACUGCGCGGCUCGAGUGCCGGAGGGGAGAGUGGAAUUCCUGGUGUAGCGGUGAAAUGCGUAGAUAUCAGGAGGAACACCGAUGGCGAAGGCAGGUCUCUGGGCAUUAACUGACGCUGAGGAGCGAAAGCAUGGGGAGCGAACAGG
RNAcentral lists this ribosomal RNA (253 nucleotides) under uncultured bacterium. Its description in RNAcentral is "partial 16S ribosomal RNA". It matches the Rfam family "Bacterial small subunit ribosomal RNA", at positions 524 to 776 of the family's 1533-position model. The record is from RNAcentral.